RNAcentral lists this ribosomal RNA (369 nucleotides) under uncultured bacterium. Its description in RNAcentral is "bacterial SSU rRNA". It matches the Rfam family "Bacterial small subunit ribosomal RNA", at positions 527 to 896 of the family's 1533-position model. The record is from RNAcentral.
GUAGGGUGCGAGCGUUAAUCGGAAUUACUGGGCGUAAAGCGAGCGCAGACGGUUAAUUAAGUCAGAUGUGAAAUCCCCGAGCUCAACUUGGGACGUGCAUUUGAAACUGGUUAACUAGAGUGUGUCAGAGGGAGGUAGAAUUCCACGUGUAGCAGUGAAAUGCGUAGAGAUGUGGAGGAAUACCGAUGGCGAAGGCAGCCUCCUGGGAUAACACUGACGUUCAUGCUCGAAAGCGUGGGUAGCAAACAGGAUUAGAUACCCUGGUAGUCCACGCCCUAAACGAUGACAAUUAGCUGUUGGGAUACUAGAUGUCUUAGUAGCGAAGUAACGCGUGAAAUUGUCCGCCUGGGGAGUACGGUCGCAAGAUUA